AUGCAUUUCUGUUCGUUUCCACGAGAUAGGAAAACCUACCACUCCGCCGCCGCCGCCGCCGCCGUCACUACCACACACACACACACACACACACACAAGCAGAGCAGGAUGAGCUCCCAACCGGCGGCCGCACGAGCAGCAGCGACGCAUCUCCUCCCUGGCCUCCCGGAUGAGGUCGUGGUCUGGGAGAUCCUCGUCCGCCUGCCCCCCAAAGCCCUCCUCCGCUGCCGCGCCGUCCGCCGCGCCUGGCGCCUUGCCACCUCCACCCGCGACUUCCUCCUCGCCCACCACGCCCGCCAGCCCACCGCCCCCCUCCUCCACGGCUACAACUGCGCCGGCGACGUCGUUGAUUCCCUAGACAUCAUUCCGUUGGACAACGUAGCAGGGGCCGACGCCGCCGACCAGCUCCAGUACAGCGCGCGACCUGGCAUUCGCAGCGUUUACGGCCACGGCCUCGUGCUCCACGACUCCUGCGAUGGGCUCCUCCUCCUCUCCCUCUACAGCACGCACUCCGUCUACAACCCGGCAACUCGUCAGUAUGCUCCCCUCCAGCAGCUUAAUGGCUUUAUGCCCUUGGGGAUGUACCGGCACGGCCCUACCGGCGAGUACCGAUUGCUGCUGCACCCGUUCCGGAGGUCGGUGGCGCCUGACGCUCAAGAUGGCGCCCACGUCUUCUCUUUAGGCUCCGGCCAGCUGCCAAGGUACAUAGGGUGCUCUGAUACACAGGAAUUGAUACACAUUUCAGCUGGAUCUGUCCUGUUCCAUGGUAGCCUGCAUUGGUACAUGAACCGCAUUGUAAUGGUAUUUGACACCAUUGCUGAGUCGUUCCGGUCGAUGCGAUGUCCGAUUGUAAUUGGCUGCGAGGACCUGUUUGAGAUGGGUGACAUGCUUGGCAUGUUUAGUCUCAACUAUGAAGGGACAAGCGUUGAAAUCUGGGCGAUGCAGGACUACGAAGCCGAGAUCUGGGCCUUAAAGUACCGGGUCGAAUUUCCGGUUGCGGAGAUCAGCUUGCAAUGUGGAAAGUUUGACCAUCAUUGGGAGGUGAUUGUCACGUCAUGGGACAGUGAUGUGCUCGUGCUGCUCCGGUUUGAUGAUUGGCUACUUCAGGUUGGCAUGGAAGGCCAGUUGGUUGCCAGUUUCCAUCGCAAAGGCCUCCGUCCUACUCGACUUCGGCUCAAACAAAGUCUAGUUUCACAUGCCUUCUUUCCGACACUGGAGGGUUAUGUUGUGAACGGCUCGCCUUUCAUCAGAUGA
RNAcentral lists this ribosomal RNA (1254 nucleotides) under Triticum aestivum (bread wheat). RNAcentral describes it as "partial small subunit ribosomal RNA". Lineage: Eukaryota; Viridiplantae; Streptophyta; Magnoliopsida; Poales; Poaceae. The record is from RNAcentral.